GGGCCCGCACAAGCGGUGGAUGAUGUGGAUUAAUUCGAUGCAACGCGAAGAACCUUACCUACCCUUGACAUGCUCGGAAUCCUGGAGAGAUCUGGGAGUGCCCGAAAGGGAGCCGGGACACAGGUGCUGCAUGGCUGUCGUCAGCUCGUGUCGUGAGAUGUUGGGUUAAGUCCCGCAACGAGCGCAACCCUUGCCAUUAGUUGCUACGAAAGGGCACUCUAAUGGGACUGCCGGUGACAAACCGGAGGAAGGUGGGGAUGACGUCAAGUCCUCAUGGCCCUUAUGGGUAGGGCUUCACACGUCAUACAAUGGUCGGUACAGAGGGUUGCCAAGCCGCGAGGUGGAGCCAAUCCCACAAAGCCGAUCGUAGUCCGGAUUGCAGUCUGCAACUCGACUGCAUGAAGUCGGAAUCGCUAGUAAUCGCAGGUCAGCAUACUGCGGUGAAUACGUUCCCGGGCCUU
This 461-nucleotide ribosomal RNA is filed under the name uncultured bacterium. RNAcentral's name for it is "bacterial SSU rRNA". It matches the Rfam family "Bacterial small subunit ribosomal RNA", at positions 917 to 1382 of the family's 1533-position model. The record is from RNAcentral.